GACGAAGGAUGCAAGCGUUAUCCGGAUUCAUUGGGUUUAAAGGGUGCGUAGGCGGACUGAUAAGUCAGUGGUGAAAUCUCUCAGCUUAACUGAGAAACUGCCAUUGAUACUGUCGGUCUAGAGUACAGAUGAUGUGGGCGGAAUAUGACAUGUAGUGGUGAAAUACUUAGAUAUGUCAUAGAACACCGAUUGCGAAGGCAGCUCACAAAACUGUAACUGACGCUGAGGCACGAAAGUGCGGGGAUCAAACAGG
RNAcentral lists this ribosomal RNA (253 nucleotides) under uncultured bacterium. RNAcentral's name for it is "partial 16S ribosomal RNA". It matches the Rfam family "Bacterial small subunit ribosomal RNA", at positions 524 to 776 of the family's 1533-position model. The record is from RNAcentral.